CCAUGAAACUGAUGUUGCGAAUGCCCAUGAAGUCUGUUCCCUGAUAGAUGGCAUCGAUGGCCUUGACGUGACUGGAGAUCUGGAAUCGUGUCAGAGAACAUAAGAUCAAGAAUCACUGGUUGCGCAAAAACACUAUAAUACAACAUCAAAGCACCAUAGCCUGGGAACAGCAGGCCCUGCUACAGGGAGGAUGAUAACCAGCACUUGCCAAGCUCCCAGCCAGAUGGUCUUGACUUUGUCAUGGAGAGUGUGGGCACUUCCUAUCAAACAACACCUCUUCAAAAGGCUGGACGAGGAACCACGACAAGGCCUUUAUGCAUCUCUCCACUCAACCUCUUUACGUGGAGGGGACCCACCCAGGCCAGCUUGGCAACCCUUCCCCCAAGUGCAGUGCAUCCAUGAUUGAGGGAGGCCUGCAAGGAUUCCCAAGCGUGGGCCGCGGCCUACUGGUGGGACUUGGACAUACAGCUGAGGGGCAGCAGGAACCAGGAUGAGACGAGCUCCUCUGGCUCCGGAAGCCACCACAUGACACACUUCCACAUCCGCCCCAAGUUUUUGCAGCUCAUCCAACCAGAUCUGCUGUUUCUGGGAAAGCCGGUCAGUGGGCCCCUUCACCUCCACCAGCUAAAAACAAC
This is a long non-coding RNA of Solea solea (common sole), 635 nucleotides long. RefSeq lists it as uncharacterized. Lineage: Eukaryota; Metazoa; Chordata; Actinopteri; Pleuronectiformes; Soleidae. The transcript is spliced from 4 exons. The record is from RefSeq and is a predicted model, not a curated record.